Molecule: long non-coding RNA, 324 nt
Filed under: Androctonus crassicauda
Lineage: Eukaryota; Metazoa; Arthropoda; Arachnida; Scorpiones; Buthidae
Source: RNAcentral
GUUGAAUGUGAAUUUCAAGUCAAUUCUGAAAUUUGUCUUUGUGACAAAUUGUUUAUUCAUGUGGAUAAUUUUCCUUUCCUCUAAACUAAGCUCUCAUGUUUUCCCCAUUUUGAAACUGAAGAUGUUUGCUAUCUUGGUUAAAAGACCUCUCCUUUGCAUAUUAACAGUAUCACAUGAUUACUAUGUUCAGAAAUUUGCAUUUUCCAGGAUGACCGAAUACUUUUGUGUGGCAGAGUUGAAUCUUGUAUGCGUCUGUGACGAUUCGCUCCGUGUGCAGAGGGCCUAACUAUAACAUUUUGCAGAUCUUUUGAUAUUUCCUUCCCG